Molecule: long non-coding RNA, 10774 nt
Filed under: Musa acuminata (dwarf banana)
Lineage: Eukaryota; Viridiplantae; Streptophyta; Magnoliopsida; Zingiberales; Musaceae
Description: long non-coding RNA (MACU_LNC003619)
Source: RNAcentral
AAAACUCGAAAGACGUACAAAUAUGUCAUUAUAUCUAAUAUUUAUUAAUUGUCUUCUAAUAUAAUAACCUUGAAGCUCAACAGACAUUAGUACCUGCCAAAUUGGAUGGCCCCUUUGCAGGCUUUAACAAGCUCUCCUGUUAUGGAAAACAAAGAACAUGAUGAAAGGGAAAAAGAAAAAGAAAAAAGGUAGAAUAAUAAAGAGAAACAAUUGCUGAGAAGUUAAGGAUGUGUUAGAUUUUUAAAAAUUGAAUGUUCUUUAGAUUCAAAUUAGCUAUUGUUGACCAUGAUGAAUAUUGUAUAACAUGAGUUUGUUGGAUGGAUGCUAAUGGAAAUUGGAGAAUCUAAUGUUAGGAUUCCAGUUAGGAGAGUCAUAAUUGAGAGGGAUAUUCAUGUAAAACCUACCUAAGCCGACCCCUAUUAAAGAGGUGAAGAGACCGGCUAGGGUUAGGAGGUUGUUUCUUAGAGAAAAAUUAGGAGUUGUAAAGGAAUAUGAGUCUUGAGUAGUAGUCCUAUUAGGAGUUGGUUAGAAGUAGGAGUCUUGAAUAGGAGUUCUAUUAGGAGUUAGGGUUUAGAAGUCCUAUAAAUAGCCAUGUAUUUCUCAUCUUUUCAUAAGAAAUAGAUAAAUCUUUUCUGCAGCCUUUGAGCAGCAACUUGGAUGGAGGAACCCUUAUAGAGUUCCAAGGACGCUGAUCCCCUAAAGAGAUCAAUCCCAAGUUUAGAAUCUGUAAGGGUUCUAACACUUGGUAUUAGAACAACAUUCUUGGCGUUUCGCUGCCCUUCCACAGCCAUCCAUCAUCCCUCCACAAUCGCCCAAAGUAAUUCCCACAAUUGCUUAAAAGAUCGUCGCCAAAUUCUGCCGUCAUCUCCACCAUCGCAGAUCAUCCUUUGAUCUCCCCGUGAAUUGCAACAGGUUCUGGUUUCCUACCUUACUGCUGCUGCAAUUUAGUUAUCCUUAUUCGAAAAUCCAAAAAAAAAUUAUUCCUAUAUUGCUGCAUAAACUUUUCAUUGCAAAGUUUUUAUCUCUACGACGAAAGAUACAUUGCAUAAUUCUAGCCGCAUAGCACAGAUUGUUUAAUCUUGCUACUACGUUUUUUCUAUCCAAACCUCUACCAAAUUUUAAUGACAGCUUUGACACUUCCUAACAGUAGAUUUUCUUUUUGUUUUGUCAAAAAAUUCUCAAUAUAAACCAUUGAUCUUUUACGUCUAAUCUGCUAUACUUGAAAAUCUGCACUGUAAAAUUCCAGCCGCAUAGCACAGUUUGUUUGAUCUUGCUACUAUGUUUUUUCUGUCCAAAUAUCUAUGAAAUUUUUAUGAUAGCUUUGACACUUCCUAACAGUGGAUUUCCCUUUGGUUUCGUCGAAAAAUUCUUAAUAUAAACCACUGAUCUUUUACGUCCAAUCUGCUACAUUUGAAAAUCUGUGAUGCAGAAAAUUUCAGUCGCAUAUUGUUGCCUUAACCCAUCUAUUUGUAAUCUUUUUUGAAUGAAAUUUUUUAUACACUUCAUAGAUCAUCUUGGCUUCCAUCUAAGAUUGAUCUAUUAAGGAAUUCAUCUCUAAAAACGAUUUUGUGUUGCUGCAAAUUUUCGUCGUAAACCGUUGAAAUUUUUCGAUGAGAAUUCUGCCAUCGCAACAUGCACCAAUUUCCUUGCUGUUAUACUACCGAAAUUUUCUUGAUUAAAUUGGACAUCCUUGCUGUCAUAUAAAUUGAGAUUUUGCUGUCAAUUCCCUCCUCAAAUUUCUCAAGUUUUUGGUAGAAAUUUCAUCGAGAAAUCGUUGUUUCUUUGACGACAAUUAUGCUCUUACAAGACAACAUAUACCUGCAACAACUUUCAUUGAUUUCUAUCAAACCUUUGCUGCCAUCUACCACAGAUCUAAAACUUUUAUCCACAGCCCUAAAACUCCACUAAACCACACCCUCAAACUGCACCCAAAACAACCACAAAACAAGCCUAAACCGCAGCCUAUAUCCACCGAUCCACCAACCCCUUCGACCAUCACUUCUCUCAACCUAUACAUGCCUUUAACCCGGCAACGAAAGAGAGAUCUUAACAUCACAUAUUUGGAGGCAUAUACUAUGACGUCCGAGGAGGCAAUCAAUACUAAAUUUGAAGUCUUCGAGGCGCGAAUGAAGGAUAAGAUUCGGACGCUCUUUACCGAACUCAGAUUGGGCCGACCACUAAGCCCGAAGAAAUCACAUCAAGGAGAGAGCUUUGCCCAAUCGCACCAAGCCUGAAGAGAUGACUUUCAAGGGAGGGGAGGCUCUAUAACCGACCCCAACUAUCCACGCAUGAUGGUGGACUUCCCUAGAUGGGAAGGAGACCCGAUUGGUUGGAUCUUGCGCGCGGAGCGAUAUUUUCGAUACCAUAAAACCACGGACGUAUCUAUGAUGAAAAUUGCGGCUAUACAUCUUGAAGGGGAUGCCAUAUAAUGGUUUGACUGGUUUGAACACACUCAUGGAAUCUUCUCAUGGUGACAAUUCAAAGAAGGAUUGCUGAUCCGUUUCGGACCAACUGAUUACGAGAACAUUGACGGACAACUAGCAAAGAUUCGACAAACCUCCACUAUUUAGGAGUACCAAACCAGGUUUGAAAGGUUAUCUAAUUAAACUCGUGAUUGGUCUAAAAAACAGCUAUUGGGGACCUUCAUUGAGGGCUUGAAGUCGGAGAUCCGGGGAGAAGUUAAUGCACGACAACCGUACACGCUUAUGGCAGCCAUCUCUUUCGCACGACAUCAAGAGGAGCGAUUGAACCAUGAAGCUCGGAGGACUAGGGUCGCUCCUCGACUAGCAAUACUAAAGCCCUCAACCCCCCUUACUAUCGACCGAGUUCCUGCACUAAAGAGGUUGACAAGAGGAGCUUCGGGAGCGAUAUGCGAAGGGGUUAUGUUGGCAUUGCGACGAGCCGUGGAGCCGUGAGCAUCGCUGUAGUAAAAGGAGACUUCUUAUGAUUGAACCAGUAGAAGAAGAGGUCAUUGAACAUCCAGAAGAGAGUCUUGAACAUGAAGAAGGUGCAGAAGAAGAGCCAAAACCGAUCGAAGUUACGGUAUAUGCACUAGCCGGCUACUCAAACCCGCAAACGAUGAAAGUCGGAGGCCUUCUCAAACAACAACCGAUCACUGUUCUCAUCGACAUGGUGUCGCAGCCUUAGCUAGAAUUGCUAAGGCGUGAGGCACCCUUGCGGCCAAGACGCGAACUUAGCUUGCGUUGCCUAAGUCGCGAGGCACCCUUGCGGCAAAGACGCGAACUUAGCUUGCGUUGCCUAAGUCGUGCUUCGCCCUUGCGAUAUUGCUCCGCAAAGAUCAGCCCACUUGCAACCUCUCGCAGGUCCCAAAGGACCUGUAAAAGAGAAAGUUGAUUAGUUUGAAAGAACGAGUGACGGACAAGUCCCGACGUUUCGCGAAAAGAGGGGAAGCUUUACAAGCAAUUCAGCGAGCACCUUGCGUGCACAAGAGAAAAGAGGGAGAGGGGGAAAACAAGGACUUUAGAGGGUUGAACGAACAGUUGCAAGUCCACAAACAGCUGCUCACCGGGUGCCGGGCGCGACAACAAGUUCCCGUCAAGGUAAUGUGCGAACUUGCGAAAGGUUGUUCAACGCCCGACACUAUACCGAAGCCCCAUCCAGCCUUGUGCCACCCGGGGGGUUCAAAGGGGCUGAGAUGGCUGACGUUUUGGUGAGCGGAGGCGGGCUAUAGAAAACAGCCCGCGGCACACGAAAACAAAGUUGUUUUAGGGCUGUUUUGCUAGGUUCGGUGAGCGGUCGCUUUGUAACGCUGCAACUUGUUCGAACUUACAUUUUUACAAGCAAAAUGACUUAAAACCAAGGCAAAACAGGCUGCCAAGUAGUUGUACAUGUAGAUGAGAGCGACGAACGGUUCGUUGAACGGAGUUGUUGCGGGUGCGCGACGACCGUUCGUGACAUUCUCCCCCACUUGAACCGUCGACGCCCUCGUCGACGCUUGUUUGUAGUUGUUGAUGAUUGCUUCUUCAUGUCGUAGGGCGUCUUCAGGCUCCCAACUUGCUUCAGUUCGGGGAAGCUUUCGCCACUUCACCAAGUACUCUGUUUGCUAUGCUCCAUUGGGUAGCUUUAUUUUGCGGUCCGCCAGAAUGGCUUCAACUCGCUUCUCGUAGGAGACUGUGAUGGGAGGUAGCUGAGUUGGAACACUUCGGGAAGCAUCUUGCAGAUCCGAGUGGUAGGCUUUUAGGUUGUUGGCGUGAAGAACGUUGUGAAUUUUGAACCACGCCGGCAGCUGUAACUUGUAAGAGACGUUGCCUACCCUGUUGAUAAUUGGGAAGGGCUCUUCGUACUUGCGCACCGAUCCUUUGUGGACUUUGUUCCUAAAGAAUUUGAGUGAUGCUGGUUGGAGCUUUACCAACACCAAAUCGCCAACCUUGAACUCUUGCAGUCGCCUUCCCAAGUCUGCUCACUUCUUCAUCCUUUUUGCCGCCUUCUCCAAGUAAGCCCGCGCAAUAUCUGCAUUUUGGUGCCACUCCUUUGCGAAGUGGUGGGCUGACGGACUACUCCCAGUAUACCCAAUUGCCAUGGUGUGAGGAGUUGUUAGUUGUUGUCCGGUAAUGAUCUCGAAGGGGCUCUUGUUGGAUACAGAGCUCCGCUACAAGUUGUAGGAGAAUUGGGCAAUGUCCAACAGCUUCACCUAAUCUCGUUGGUUGGCACUCACGUAGUGCCGGAGAUAUUGCUCCAGGAGCGAGUUUAUCCUCUCAGUUUGGCCAUCUGUCUGGGAGUGGAGACUUAUGGAGAAGUAUAAUUUGGAUCCCAACAAUUUGAAUAACUCGGUCUAGAAUCGUCCCAAGAAUCGAGCAUCCCGAUCACUGAUGAUAUUGUGCGGGACUCCCCAAUACUUCACCACAUCCUUCAUCAUUAGCUUGGCCGCCUCCUCUGCUGAACAGUGUAGGGGAGCAGCAAUGAAAGUUGUAUACUUUGAAAAUCGAUCGAUUACCACGAGUAUCAAUUCGAGUCUCCCUACUAGUGGCAAGCUCGAUAUGAAGUCUAAGGAAAUGCUCUCGCACGACCUUUCUGGUACGGGCAACGGCUCCAAAAGUUCCACCGGCUUCCACUGCUCCGCCUUGUCUUGUUGGCAAGUGAGGCAUGUUCGAAUAUAUUCCUCCACAUAAGUCCCCAUCUUCGGCCAAUAGAAGGCCCUCUCCACAAGAGCCAACGUUAGAUGAAUACCUGGGUGUCUAGCCCAAAGGGAAUCGUGACACUCUCUUAAGAGUUCACGCCUCAAAUUAUCCACUCGAGGAACAUAAACCCGAUUCCCUUUUGUGUACACGAGUCCCUCCUGGACCCAAAAUCGUCGUGCCUUGCCUUCUUUGAUGAGCUGCAUUAGGAGAACUGCCUGGGGAUCACCAUACAGUCCAUCCUUGAUCCUGGAAAGGAAGUUGGAGUGCAAUUGACUUGCUUGGCCUCCGCCCUCCAAUUGUACGACAUUCACGCGCUCCACUUUCCGACUCAAUGCAUCGGCCACGACAUUUGCCUUCCCAGGCUUAUACUUCAUUGCCAUAUCAAAUUCAGCCAAGAAGUCCUGCCACCGUGCUUGUUUUGGGGAAAGUUUCUUCUGUGUUUGGAAAUAGCUCAAAGCGAUGUUGUCUAUCCUCAGCACAAAUCGCGAUCCGAGAAGGUAGUGUCGCCAAACUCGUAGACAGUGGAUCAACGCUGUCAUCUCCUUCUCGUGCACUAGAUAUCGCCGCUCGGUCUCGUUGAGCUUGCGGCUCUCGUAGGCCACCGGAUGACCUUCUUGCAUGAGUACUCCCCCAAUAGCGAAGUCCGAAGCAUCUGUAUGGACUUCAAAAGGCUCCCCAUAGUCUGGCAAUUUGAGCACUGGUUCUUCCAUAACAACAGCCUUCAGAUCUUGGAAUGUUAUUUCACAUUUGUCCGACCACUUCCAAGGCUGCUCCUUCAGUAACUCCGUUAGUGGAGUUGCACGCUUCGAGUACCCCGCUAUGAAGCGUCGAUAGUAGUUGACGAAACCAAGGAUCUCAACUCUGGCACCUUCUUUGGAGUUCGCCAUUCCGCAACCGCUUGCACUUUUGAUUUGUCCAUGCGAAUGGAACCAUCACUGAUUCGAUGCCCCAAGAAUAAGAUCUCCGUUUGGGCGAAGUAGCAUUUCUCCUUUUUUACGAACAAAGUGUUCUCCCUGAGAACCUUGAAAAUUGUUCGAAGGUACUAAACAUGCUCCUCGAGCGUUUGGCUGUAUACGACAAUAUCGUCUAAGUAGACGACCACGAACUUGUCCAAAUACUCCUUGAAUAGUUGGUUCAUGAGAGUGCAGAACGUGGCCUGAGCGUUGGUUAAGCCAAAAGGCAUCAUCAAGAACUCAAACGCUCCAUACCUGGUCACACAAGUAGUCUUCGGUUCGUCGCCUUCAGUAAUGCGCACAUGCCAAUACCCCGACCGAAGGUCGAGUUUCGAGAAAUACUUGGCUUUGCCUAACUGGUCGAACAAGUCCGCGAUGAGCGGGAUGGGAUACUUGUUCUUCACUGUCACUUUGUUAAGGGCUCGGUAAUCGACGCAUAGUCGGAGGCUGCCAUCUUGUUUCUUCUGGAAGAGAACUAGAGCUUUGAAAGGUGAUUUAGAGCUACGGAUGAGACCACCGCUUAGCAGUUCACCUAACUGCUUUCUGAGUUCUGCCAACUCUGGCGGGGACAUGCGGUAGGGUGGUCUCGCUGGAGGUUUCACUCCUGGCUCCAGCUCGAUGCUGUGAUCCACGCCUCUGCGUGGUGGAAGAGUCUUUGGCAACUUAGGUGGCAUGACGUCAUUGAACUCUUUCAGGACGUUCACCACCACAGCAGGUUCUUGAAUGGCCUUCUCGUCAAGUGGCUCUAGCUUCAUAGUAGCCACGAAUGUUAAUUCACCUUUUCGCACCCCUUUAUUCAGUUGUAAUGUCGAUAUGUGUUGGGGCUCCCUGGUUCCUCUCCGAGACACAAGGACCACGCAGGGGUCGUCACCUCGCAUCAUACACAGGGAGUUCAAGAACGGCAUUGGCACCAACUUUGUUGCGUGCAUGAACUCCAUUCCAAGAAUCACUUGGAAGUCAUCCAGUGGCACUACCAUCAUGUUGGUGUUCCCGCUCCAUGUCCCGAUUUUGAUGGGAACUCCCUUCGCCAACCCGGAGAUUCGCUUGGCCUCCGAGUUCACUGCCUUCAUUCGGCUUGGGCUCUUCUCCAAGAUCAACCCAAGUUGCUUUGCUUCUCGAUCGGCUAUGAAGUUGUGGGUAGCGCCCGUGUCCACCAUUGCACGGGUCGUUUGGCCAUUUAGCUUGAUGUCCACAUACAUCAGCUCUCUACUUCCUGCUUUUUGUAGCUUUGUCUUCAUGUUCUCCCCCACUUGACCCCGCAUGGCGUUCAAAAAACGCAUUGCUCCCAUCCGAGGUCCUUGCGACUCCUCGUCGUCGCUGUUGGAUUCAGAACUACUCGAACUAAGAGCAACAACUUUGCCCUUGUUCGAUCGGGGGGCCAACAACAACAACAAGCAAAAUGACUCAAAACCAAGGUAAAACAGGCUGCCAAGUAGCUGUACAUGUAGAUGAGAGCGACGAACGGUUCGUUGAAUGGAGUUGUUGCGGGUGCGCGAUGACCGUUCGUGACAACGGGCAGUACUAAUAACUUCCUAAAUAGUAAGGUUGCUGUCCGAAUGGCUUUACCUAUCGAGAAUUGCAGCAUGUUUGACGUUAAGGUCGCCUACGGAUGGAUUUUAAAGUAUGAUCGUAGGCGCUCGCGAGUGAAACUAUUGUUGUAGGACCAAGAGAUAAUUGCAUAUUUCUUCCUCCCUCUUGAUGAUUAUGAGGCCAUGCUCAGAAUUAAAUGGGUGACGACAUUAGGUGAUGUUUCUUGGAAUUUUAUGCAACUAAUUAUGAAAUUUUACAGUAAGGAGAAACAGGUGAUAUUGCACGGGAAACGUGGGGGCGACGUAACGACAAUUUGCACACAACAAAUGGAGAAGGUUUUGCAUAAAACAUGCAACGGUUUUUUGGUACAACUUGAGUAGCAAUCUAAGGGAGAGCUAAUAGAGUUUGAAGAUCCAAACCUACUUCCUUUGCUUGCUGAAUUUUCAGAUAUAUUUGACGAAUCGCACAACCUACCUCUUAUCCGUCAGCAUGAUCAUUAUAUAACGAUUCUUCUAGGAGUUAUUCGGCCAAGUUGCAGUCGCUACUCUUCAUCGGUGCUACUUGUACACAAGGAUGAAACAUGGCGAAUAUGCGUUGAUUAUCGAGCUCUCAAUGGCAUAACCAUCAAUGAUAAAUAUCCUAUUCCAGUAGUAGAUGAAUUGCUAGAUGAAAGGGAGCACAAAUCUUCACAAAGCCUUCGAUCCGGGUAUCAUCAAAUACGAGUGUGUGAAAAAGACAUUUUAAAAAUCGCCUUUUGAACACACAAUGGCCACUACGAAUUUUUACUUUCUUCAACAAAAGAUGGAAUAUCUUGGGCAUAUCAUAUCAGAGAAAGGUGUGAUGGUGGACCCCUCCUAUAUAGAAGCAAUGUAGAACUGAUCGACCCUGAGAAACAUAAAAUUGCUACGUGGCUUUCUGGGUUUAACAGGCUACUACCGCAAGUUCGUAAAAAACUAUGGAAAGAUCAGUGCACCACUUCCUUACUUAAAAAAGAUGUCUUUCAAUGGUCAGACAAAGCCUCCGCUGCCUUCGACAAACUUAAGGCAGCUAUGACGAUGACGUCGGUGCUAGCACUACCAGAUUUCAGCCGACCCUUCAUUAUUGAGGCCGACGCUUCUGGAGUCGGAAUUGGAGCUAUUCUCAUGCAAGAUGGUCGACCACUCGCAUACACUAGCAAGGCAUUGUCUCCCUCCCAUCAAAAUAUGUCAACAUGUGAUAAGGAGAUGCUCGUCAUUGUGCACGUAGCAACGAGGUGGAGACCCUACUUGAUCGGUCGAUGAUUUCAAAUUAAAAUUGACUAUAAAAGUCUCAAGUACUUUUUGGAGCAAAAGAUAUCAUCCCCUGAGCAGCAAAAAUGGGUAAUAAAACUUCUUGGAUUUGAUUAUAAAAUAACUUACAAAAAGGGGAAAGAGAAUGUUGUUGCAGAUGCGCUUUCGCAACUACCUAAGCAAGCUGAAUUUUCGAUCGUUUCACUUCCGACCAGUGACUUCCUUGAGGAUAUUAAGAUGGAAUGACAGGAAGAUUCGGAGACCAGUAAGAUCAUAAAAAAAUUGGAGGAAGCACCAAGCUCUGUGGCUCAUUACAAUUGGGACUCAAAAGAAUUACACUAUAAGGGACGCAUUGUACUUGUGACAAAUUCUACUUGCAUCUUCACGAGCAGAUUUUGGACAAAGUUAUUCCAUAUGCAGGGUACUAAAUUGAAAAGGAGUAUGGCAUAUCACGCACAAACCGACGGCCAGACGGAAAUUGUAAAUAGGUGCUUGGAGACAGCCCAAAGCCACCCACCAAAUAUGACCACCCAAGGAGAGCUCCAGACCCAGCCAAGUGCCAUUAUCGAUCGACGGAUCGUGAUUUGACGACGACGACCCACUACUGAAGUGCUAAUACAGUAGGUGAACCUACCGACAAAAGAUACCACUUGGGAGAACUAUGACGACUUGAAGAUCAAAUUCUCAGAAUUCAUGAAUUGUCAGCCUCAAGGAGAAGACUGAUUUGAAGAGAGCGGGUCUGUUAGGACUCCAGCUAGGAGAGUCCUAAUUGAGAGGGACAUUUAUGUAAAAUCUACCUAAGCCGAACCCUAUUAAAGAGGUGAAGAGGUCGACUAGGGUUAGGAGGUUGUUUCUUAGAGAAGAAUUAGGAGUUGUAAAGGAAUAAGAGUCUUAGUAGGAGUCCUAUUAGAAGUUGGUUAGAAGUAGGAGUCUUGAGUAGGAGUCAUAUUAGGAGUUAGGGUUUAGAAGCCCUAUAAAUAGCCAUGUAUUCAUCCUCUUUUCAUAAGCAAUAAAUAAAUCUUUUCUGCAGCCUUUGAGCAGCAACUUGGAGGGAGGAACCCCUAUAGAGUUCCAAGGAGGCCUAUCCCCUAAAGAGAUCAACCUCAAGUUUAGAAUCUGUAAGGGUUCUAACAUCUAACUAUUUAGUAAAGUGGUUCUAACAUCUAACUCUUAGUAUUCUCUAUGUGAUUCUGCAUCUUUGUUUUGCUAUUUUUUUCCUCACCGCUGUUGGAACAUUUCUUUUAAAAUCUUUUUGUUAUAUUUGUUACUUCUUGUUUUCUCUUUCUCCCUUGUUUGUAUCAGAGCCGUAAUGACUAGGGCAUACUUCAUUCCGUUCACUACAGAUGCUCUUUUGUGUCAUUUUUUCCUCUUUGGUGUAUGCAAUCUUUGGUGUGCCAUUUUAUUAGUUUGAAGGACAUUUAGUUAAUGGACUUUGAUAUUGACUCACAAAUAUCCAUAGCUAUUGCUGUGAAUUGAACCAUUUGAUCAGUUUGCUCUGAUGACAAAGAAUGAAUUUCUGGAUGGCUUUGUUGGAAGCUUAGAGCUUUUUUGCUUGCUUUAUUGUAAUAUGCAUGCGGAUAAACUGCAAAUCUGUUAUACUUAUUAGCUGUAAUGGAUGAAUGGACGUGAAGUUAAGUGUUGGUUGAAGGUAGAAUGCAGUAUCUUGUGAUUAUUGAGUAUGAACAGUAGAAACACAAGUUCUAAUCAAUUUGGCAACUUCUGCUGGUAACGUUUCAUUAUUGUUUUCAAGGUAGUUUGAACAAGCUUUUAUGAUGCACUUUUCAAAACGUGUGUUGAUUGUGUAUAUUUAUUUAUUUUUAAAUGAGCUUUUGGAAUUUUUUGGAUAUUUUGUCAUCUAAGAGCUCACAUGAUUGUUCUUGCAAAU